AACGAACGCUGGCGGCGCGCCUAAUACAUGCAAGUCGAGCGAGAAGACGUAGCAAUACGUUUGUAAAGCGGCGAACGGGUGAGGAAUACAUGGGUAACCUACCCUCGAGUGGGGAAUAACUAGCCGAAAGGUUAGCUAAUACCGCGUACGCUCCUUGGACUUCGGUUCAGGGAGGAAAGCGAUACCGUGGGUAUCGCGCUCUUGGAUGGGCUCAUGUCCUAUCAGCUUGUUGGUGAGGAACGGCUCACCAAGGCUUCGACGGGUAGCUGGUCUGAGAGGACAAUCAGCCACACUGGCACUGCGACACGGGCCAGACUCCUACGGGAGGCAGCAGUAAGGAAUAUUGCGCAAUGGGCGAAAGCCUGACGCAGCGACGCCGCGUGGGGGAGUGAAGGUCUUCGGA
RNAcentral lists this ribosomal RNA (403 nucleotides) under uncultured bacterium. RNAcentral describes it as "bacterial SSU rRNA". It matches the Rfam family "Bacterial small subunit ribosomal RNA", at positions 29 to 422 of the family's 1533-position model. The record is from RNAcentral.